This 251-nucleotide ribosomal RNA is filed under the name uncultured bacterium. RNAcentral describes it as "partial 16S ribosomal RNA". It matches the Rfam family "Bacterial small subunit ribosomal RNA", at positions 525 to 775 of the family's 1533-position model. The record is from RNAcentral.
ACGUAGGGGGCAAGCGUUAUCCGGAUUUACUGGGUGUAAAGGGAGCGUAGACGGGACAGCAAGUCUGAUGUGAAAGGCAGGGGCUCAACCCCUGGACUGCAUUGGAAACUGUUGACCUGGAGUACCGGAGGGGUAAGCGGAAUUCCUAGUGUAGCGGUGAAAUGCGUAGAUAUUAGGAGGAACACCGGUGGCGAAGGCGGCUUACUGGACGGUAACUGACGUUGAGGCUCGAAAGCGUGGGGAGCAAACAG